Long non-coding RNA from Bombyx mori (domestic silkworm), 1160 nucleotides. RefSeq lists it as uncharacterized. The record is from RefSeq and is a predicted model, not a curated record. The transcript has 2 exons. NCBI's taxonomy places the organism in Eukaryota, Metazoa, Arthropoda, Insecta, Lepidoptera, Bombycidae.
CAACAAUUCUGGAAAAUUACCAAAUAUUCACCGCCAAUGUCCGAAACAGAAAACAAAUACUUCAAAUAAUAACGUCAUUUGUCAAACACGUAAAUUGACACGAUCAAUUAAAUUGGCAAAUAUUAGUUAAUCACGCCCCGGUCAUGGUGCAGGACAUUUGCCGAUUACAAAUCAAUAUUUCGGUUCUAGAAAGUAAGACGUGUCAAAAUUCAUUGAAAUUAUUUUAAGUGUUAUCCUAUUAAACUUAGCCUGUAUUAACCUUCUUAUUGCCAGAAAUUCCUAAAGAUAAAAUUGUAAGCUUCGUCAAACAGAACGCGUACUUAGCGCUGCGUUUCAACGUCGCGCUCUUUACAUGUCACACAAAUUGAAUAGAUGAGCCCAACGCUUCUUGACGCAACGUAACGCCAAAACAUAGUGCCUUCCGAUAGCAAUGUGAAAAUUUAAAAGUAUUAAGAUGUUGAGUGAUUCAGAUGUGGCAUUGUAUAAACAUGGGUAUUUCCUAACUAAUUCUAUCAAUUUUUCGGGCAUUAUCCAGUAUUUUAAUACACAUUCACUCACAAAUGAGUGUCUACAAUUAUAAUUAAGGCAAACACAUUAUUUUCAUUAAUCUAUUAACAAUGAAAUUCAGAGAAAAGAAUAGCUUGUCCAGCAUAGACAUUGGAACUUACAAAAAAGAUUGAGCCUCGUGAGCAGAGCACGUAGUCAUAAUACUCUUUAGGCUACCAACCAUUAGGUUAGGAAAAAACGCCAAUAACGAAAGAAAAUGAGAACAACAUGUUUAGUUGUUAAACGAAUAUAAAACGAAGCCUGCUCUGGUGAGAUUGACAACACAACUAUAAGAAUUAGGACUAUGUUGGACGCGGUGAUAGUUUUCAUAAGAUCUCUUAAAUGAGGCUAGGCCGAACUGCAUGACUCCUCUGAUUAAUGGCUUUGAAUAACCCGAGAAUGGGUCCCAAGAGAUCUCUCGGACAAAAUAACAUGGGGUAUUUUUCUCGAGGGAGCUGGAAUCCAAAUUUGGUGAUAGAGCCCGGAAAAGAAAGCUGUCAAUGGAAUUGUUAUGGAGGAUCAGAACGAAGCUACUUUGUGACGCCGACAAUGGUUAUUUUCGCAAAAGACCUUAUGAUUUAGGUUAUAAAUAUUAAAGAAUUAUUAUAACUUUA